Molecule: long non-coding RNA, 1151 nt
Organism: Penaeus indicus
Lineage: Eukaryota; Metazoa; Arthropoda; Malacostraca; Decapoda; Penaeidae
Exons: 2
Source: RefSeq, a predicted model, not a curated record
AUAAUAAUAACAGUAAUAAUGAUAAUAACAAUAAUAAUAAUAAUGUAACUUAUUCGUUGCCGAUUAUUUAUCAUGUUAAUCUGAGUGUAAUCUAACAGGGCUAAUUCUAACAUCUGGCAUAAAGUAAAUAUUGAGACCUUUAACGGGACAUUUUUUUAAGACAAUUUAACAUUAACAUAAAAUAGGGCCUCUCUUUACCCUAAUAAGAGCAAGACCUAACUUUUAACAGAAUCUAACACCGUAGGAAUUCAUCUUAAGUGUUAUAAAAGGAGUUAAUUUUAGCAGGACUACAAGCCCACAAUUUUAAUAGAAUCGAUGUUUUACUUUUAUAACGGGAUCUAAUUUGAAAAGAACAGGACAAAAAGUUUAAAAGCAUAACUGGACCAAAAUCUGGAAGAACAGGACUAAAAUCUGACAGCAUAACUGGACCAAAAUCUGAAAGAACAGGACCAAGGUUUAACAGCAUAACUGGACCAAAAUCUGAAAGAACAGGUCCUAAAAUUUAACGGCAUAACUGGACCAAAAUCUAACAGAAUAACCGAGCCUUUUUUUCUUUCUUUCUUUCUUUUUUUCACAAUUAUAACAAAGCUAAAUGUAAGCGAACCUACCCUUAAACAUGAUACUCGAAUUUUAAGCUCACAACAACGUCUACUUCGUCAGGAGCUGAGUACCUGGCCCGCCUCGGCUUCCCUCCUGCAGUCACGGCCUUCGUCAGGUAUCACGUGCAGGCCAAGAGGUUCCUGGUGGCUACUGACGCCGGGUAUUAUGAGACCCUCACGGAAGCGAGCAGGAUGACCCUCGAACACCAAGGAGGACCGAUGACGGAGGAGGAGGCGAGGACUUUCGCCCAGGACCCGCAGUUCGACGCCAUUUUGAGGAUGAGGAGGUGGGACGAGAGAGCCAAGGAUCCCAAGGCUGUCACGCCGCCCUUAGAGCACUACAGAGACAUGUGUUUGAGGUUUCUGCAGGAGGGCGAGGCGGCGGGAAAGAAGAUUUGAAAUGUUCGGAAAACGCGCGGAGAGAAAGAGGCUCCGUUUUCUGUUUCUUCUUGUUGUUUUUUUUCAUUUUUUUCGUAUCCGUCAUAUUUAGUUUUUGUGUUUUUGUUGUUGUUGUUGUUGUUUUGGUUUGACUGAUUAAAACGUUUGGAUUCA